GCUAUUUAGGUUAGAGUUUGAUCAUGGCUCAGGACGAACGCUGGCGGCGUGCUUAACACAUGCAAGUCGAACGGAAAGGCCUCUUCGGAGGUACUCGAGUGGCAGACGGCUGAGUAACGCGUGGGUGACGUACCUAUUGGUGGGGAAUAACUGCCCGAAAGGGUGGCUAAUACCGCAUACGCCUACAUCUGCGUUGGUGUAGGGAAAGCAGCAAUGCGCCGAUGGAGCGGCCCGCGUCCGAUUAGCCAGUUGGUGGGGUAACGGCCUACCAAAGCGACGAUCGGUAGCUGGUCUCAGAGGAUGAUCAGCCAGACUGGGACUGAGACACGGCCCAGACUCCUACGGGAGGCAGCAGUUAGGAAUUUUGGGCAAUGGGCGCAAGCCUGACCCAGCAACGCCGCGUGGGUGACGAAGGCCUUCGGGUUGUAAAGCCCUUUUCUGGAGGAAGAUGAUGACGGUACUCCAGGAAGAAGCACCGGCUAACUACGUGCCAGCAGCCGCGGUACGCC
This 509-nucleotide ribosomal RNA is filed under the name uncultured bacterium. RNAcentral describes it as "bacterial SSU rRNA". It matches the Rfam family "Bacterial small subunit ribosomal RNA", at positions 1 to 526 of the family's 1533-position model. The record is from RNAcentral.